Long non-coding RNA from Daphnia pulicaria, 517 nucleotides. RefSeq lists it as uncharacterized. The record is from RefSeq and is a predicted model, not a curated record. Lineage: Eukaryota; Metazoa; Arthropoda; Branchiopoda; Diplostraca; Daphniidae. The transcript is spliced from 2 exons.
GUCUAGCAAAAAGUCGUGCGCAGUUUACGCCGAUGCGCACCACUGCGGCAGAUAGCAGAACUAAACUUUUUAUUACGCUUGACAAAAACCGUAUCUGAUAUCCUUUAUUCGAGAAUCUAACUGUCAUCUGACAGUUAUAGUUUUCCACAUGUUGUAAGACACAUCGUAAAAACUUGAGAGUUAAUAAUAAGAUGCCUGAAAAUAGAGUUUGUGUUAUUUGCGGUGAAUAUUAUAGAAGGUUGAGAAAAGUUUCUUUUUUUUCUAUCCCUAAACUGGAUAAAAAUGUGCAAAAGUGAUAGAGAGUUAGUUGAAAGAAGAAUUGCGGCUUGGAUGGCAGUUAUUGGAUCUAAUAUUAAUAAGUACUAUGGUGCACCCUCUGUGUGUGCUUUACAUUUUCAUUCAGGCAAACCAGCAUCUGGGUUCCGUCAAAGAAUUUAACUAACAUAAAUCAACAGGACAAACAAGAGAAUGAUUUUGAUUCAGACUUAUCACGUACAUGUUUUGGUGCUAGUUUUUU